AACCAGGAUCAUGUCCAAAACCCCUUGGAGCCGGACUGUGUGUUGAGAAGUGUUCUGGUGACGGUAGCUGUCCAAACAAUCAGAAAUGCUGCAGCAAUGGAUGUGGACAUCAGUGUAUGGCUCCAUGUACUGGUGCUGGACCAGCAAAGCCAGGAGUGUGUCCUAGAAACAA
Long non-coding RNA from Carassius auratus (goldfish), 172 nucleotides. RefSeq lists it as uncharacterized. Lineage: Eukaryota; Metazoa; Chordata; Actinopteri; Cypriniformes; Cyprinidae. The record is from RefSeq and is a predicted model, not a curated record. The transcript is spliced from 2 exons.